This 522-nucleotide ribosomal RNA is filed under the name uncultured bacterium. Its description in RNAcentral is "partial 16S ribosomal RNA". It matches the Rfam family "Bacterial small subunit ribosomal RNA", at positions 355 to 868 of the family's 1533-position model. The record is from RNAcentral.
UGGGGAAUUUUGGACAAUGGGCGAAAGCCUGAUCCAGCAAUGCCGCGUGUGUGAAGAAGGCCUUCGGGUUGUAAAGCACUUUUGUCCGGAAAGAAAUCCUUGGCUCUAAUACAGUCGGGGGAUGACGGUACCGGAAGAAUAAGCACCGGCUAACUACGUGCCAGCAGCCGCGGUAAUACGUAGGGUGCAAGCGUUAAUCGGAAUUACUGGGCGUAAAGCGUGCGCAGGCGGUUUGCUAAGACCGAUGUGAAAUCCCCGGGCUCAACCUGGGAACUGCAUUGGUGACUGGCAGGCUAGAGUAUGGCAGAGGGGGGUAGAAUUCCACGUGUAGCAGUGAAAUGCGUAGAGAUGUGGAGGAAUACCGAUGGCGAAGGCAGCCCCCUGGGCCAAUACUGACGCUCAUGCACGAAAGCGUGGGGAGCAAAACAGGAUUAGAUACCCCUGGUAGUCCACGCCCUAAACGAUGUCAACUAGUUGUUGGGGAUUCAUUUCCUUAGUAACGUAGCUAACGCGUGAAGUUGA